Molecule: RNA transcript, 5123 nt
Organism: Triplophysa rosa
Lineage: Eukaryota; Metazoa; Chordata; Actinopteri; Cypriniformes; Nemacheilidae
Gene: prkn
Gene name: parkin RBR E3 ubiquitin protein ligase
Exons: 12
Source: RefSeq, a predicted model, not a curated record
CAGCUGUCAGUCAGCACGCGUGCAGCAUGACAACAAACAUGAAAGUCACACUGUAGUGAAUGUGGACAGAAGACAUCUCAUUAUGAUCGUAUAUGUGCGGUUUAAUUCCAGCCAUGGGUUCCCGGUGGAGUUGGAGCAGGGUGCAAGUGUAGCUGAGCUAAAAGAGACCGUGGGGCGUCUACAGAGCAUAGAGCCUGAUCAACUGCGGGUCAUUUUUGCUGGACGAGAGCUCUGCAGUGAAUCCACACUUCAGGGUUGUGAUCUCCCUGAGCAGAGCACAGUUCAUGUGGUUCUGCCUCCAUCCAGUUCAGUCCGGCGCUCUGAGGUGGUCUUACAGCGCCGGCUGGGCGGCGGGGUGGGCAGCUUGACCCGACUGGACCUCAGCAGCUCUCGUCUGACCACUGCAUCCGACGGUCUGGCUGUCAUUCUGGAGACAGAUGCCUCCGGUCAGAGGAACCCCGACGGGCACACAGAAUCCAGAGCCCAUAGCAGUUUCUAUGUCUUCUGUAAGACGGUCUGCAAGGCCAUCCAGCCUGGAAAACUACGGGUUCGCUGCAGAGACUGUAAGCAAGGCACCCUCACACUCAGCCGGGGGCCGUGCUGCUGGGAUGACGUGCUUCUUCCUAACAGGAUUCAUGGAGUAUGUCAGUCACAAGACUGUGAUGGGAGAGUGGCGGAGUUCUACCUGAAAUGUGCCGCCCACCCCACCUGUGAUAAUGACACGUCGGUAGCACUGGACCUCAUCAUGGCCAACACACGUGGUGUCCCCUGCAUCGCCUGCACUGACAUCAUGAGUCCAGUUCUGGUGUUUCAAUGCGCUGAGCGUCAUGUGAUCUGUCUGGAGUGUUUCCAUCUGUACUGUGUGACCAGACUCAAUGAGAGACAGUUUAUCCACGAGCCGCUGGUGGGCUACUCCUUGCCCUGCGCAGCUGGCUGUCCUGACUCGCUCAUUAAAGAGAUUCAUCAUUUCCGAGUCCUGGGAGAUGAACAGUAUGAGCGUUACCAGCGGUAUGCAGCAGAGGAGUGUGUUCUUCAGAUGGGAGGAGUUCUGUGUCCCGCCUCUGGAUGUGGUGCUGGUCUGCUUCCUGUGGAUGAUGACAGAAGAGUCUGCUGUGAGUUAGGCAACGGACUCGGCUGUGGGCGGUGUGAAGGCCUCAGAUCUGAACUCCUGUCUGUCUCUGUCAAAGAGCUCAACCGAUGACCUGCGUCACAGAGCACUGCCAAUAUAUCCUUCUGUUCUCAAUGACGCAAUUUUAAGAGAAAUGUCUGAGACGAAGUUGAUACCAAAAUGAAACGCAACUGAGAACUCCAUCAAAUCUCCUUAGCUAUGAAAGAGCAACCACUGAGCAUUAACAUUUUAAGUAUUAAAAUUGUCCUCUGGGAUGUUUUUUCUGAAACUUUGUGAACUUUUCCAUCACACUGUUAUUCCCAUCACAUCUCAAACAUUCUGUAAUGAAAAUGACUGCUGUGGAAAUUACAUUUAAAACAUUUAUGAAUUAAAAUGCUCCUUUGGUUUAUAAAUACUCUACCAUUACAAAUUUCCUAGCUUUGAGAAAUAAAUGUGAUCAUUAUAUCCUAAAAAAAAAAACAGUUUGAUUAAUUUUAAUGUCUACAAACAUAUGUUUGCUGGAACUACACUAAUGUAGUGUAUUUAACCCCUUUAUACUUGUAGGUAAAUUUCAAUUAUUGAAUUGGAGUGUAUUUGUUUGUAUGCUUAUUGUUCAGUUAAGAAUUUUAAGAGCUUGUCUCUUAUCUUCAGACCAUACCUACUCUUAAAGUACAGGAUCGGUUUGAGAGGACUGUGGAAGAGAGAGAGAGAGAGAGAGAGCGGGCAGGUUGACAGUGAUGUUGCGGUCAGUGUUGUGUCUGUGAGCCACAGAUAAAGGCUUUAUUGCAGUUGGCGGUAAUGAACCAUUGGCACCAGCACACACGCAUAUAGCAACGAUGGCAUAUAAACACACACACACACACACACACACACACACACACACACACACACACACACACACAAAAGAUAGAGGGUUUUUACCCUGUCUGGACCUCAGAGACACCUCACAACCUACCUGUCCUACUUCACUUACAGAAAAAUCAAUAUAUGCCCUCUCAAUAUCUCCUCUACCAUUUUACACUUCCUUUCUCUCUUUUGUUUGGGGGUUUAGGGGCUCUGUAUCAUCAGCAGCGUUGUGUGUUGAAUAGUAGAGCUGAUCUUGCUGUAAGCCGCCAGCGAUAGAGCAAUUUCUGCCAGCUCUAGAUGUGCUUGUGUGUGUGUGCGUGUGUGUGUGUGUGUGCGUGUGUGCGUGCGUGCGUGUGUGUGUGUGUGUGCGCGUGUGUGUGAUUCAGGAGGGGGUUAUGCUUGUGGUCCGUGUGUGUGUGUGUGUGUGUGUGUGUGUGUGUGCUGUGCGUGCGUGUGUGUGUGCGUGUGUGAUUCAGGAGGGGGUUAUGCUUGUGGUCCGUGUGUGUGUGAGUGUGUUUUGAAUCAUCUCUCAGCAUCUCGAGAGGUAAGAUUAGACCUGUCAUUGGUGAUGGAAAAAGAUCUGGUGACCUUGGUAAUGCUGGUGCCACGAGCUGACAAGGUUUAUAUUGAUUCUUCACUGCUAUUAAUAUAAAUUUCUUUUAGUUUGUAGUUGGAUGCGCAUAAAAUCACAUCAAAAAUAUAGUUCUUUUGGUAGCAGGAUGGGAAUGAAAUAAAAAGUGACUAAAUAAAUAAAAUCCUGUAUGUGUAUAACGUCAUCCUGUGUAUUAUUAUUUUAUUACAUAUAUAUAAAAAUAUAUGUACAAUCGUAAUGUUUUUUGUUAAAGUGAUAGUUCACCCCCCAAAUGUUUUUUUCAUCAUUUACUUUUUCUUUCUUGCAGAUAUUUUGAAGAAUGUUGCGGGAACCAAACAAUGCGGCACCCAUUAACUUCUAUUGUAUAGACACAAAACCAAUGCUAGUCAAUGGGUGCCGCCAUUGUUCGGAUACAAACAUUCUUCAAAAUAUCUUUUUUUGUGUUCUGCAGAACAAAGAAAGUCAUGCAGGUUUGAAAUGACAAGAGGAUGAGUAAAUGAUGACGGAAUUGGAAUUAUAGAGCCUUAAAACUAGGAUUUCAUUCAAGUUUACAGUACAUUUCAUUAUUAGGUUUCUGAAGGUUCAACACUGACUUCAUUUUCAAGUAAAUAAAAAGACUCUGUCUUUAAAUAAUUGUGUGUUUGUAGGCGGUUGCUAAGUGAGACGUUUCCUGUUAUUUACAAACUCUGUGUCUAUAUCUGUCUCCCUCUCGUCCUCUCUCUCUCUUUCUCUCCAGCUUUUAGAAGUGUACUGAGUAAAGGGACAGAUAGCCAGGUGUCAGAAAGAUGCUGUUAUGGCCUUGAAGCUGUACAUUUAGGUUGGUUGUGAGCUCGUGUUGGUGGGAGAGAGAGAUCAGUCUGGCAGAUGAUCAGACCUUUCUCUCUCUUUUAUAGUUUCAGUCUGACAUUCUUAUUUAACACACAUCAGACGGAUACUGUCAGUUUCUGUCUAAGUCUACACACACACUCAACUGCAUUUGUUAAUGCUGGAGGACAAAUCGAAAGACAUUAUAGCACAGUGCCCACAAUGUAUCGUUUGUAUACAGCAUUUAUAUAUGUGAGCAUCUCCACUGCAAACUACAGUAUAAAUGUUUUCUAUACAGCAGGUGAAUUUUAUUAAAGUCCCUGUGAAAUCUUCCUGGUGAAAGUUUCUGUAUUGGGGGAAGAAUUUAGCAGAAUGGGCAAUUCCAGCGUUAUGGAUGUGACAUUUCACAUAAUGUAUUUAUUACCAAUAUAUAGAACUUUGUUUAUAUUUUACUAAGCCCCCAAUGCUAGAGGCCAGACAUCAGAAAAUAUCAGUCUAUACACAAAUUUUCUGUUUUAAAAGAGGGGAAAUUAAUGUGUUACAGAUGUGACAAAUAAGGACUGACCGACGUUAUACUUCGUAGGAUCUCUGUGAAUUAAAAUGUGCAAACCAGAAGCAAUAAUCCUCAACAAAAGGAGAAGGGAUGACUCUUUAUAGAACAUAAACUUUAUUUAAAUUUUCUUGUGCCCGUUCUGGAUGUGACCGUUCACGUACCCGACUAUGAUUUAAAAACAUAAAGUAUUUUGAAAAAGAGAGGAUUCACGUGAGUAUUUAAACCGCCAAAUAUUGACAUCUGACCUAUCAGUGUGGUAAACUUUUGUCGAAAACAUUUGCAUGCAAUUGCCCGAAUGGUUUUGUGAACAAACAAGAAUUGAGGUAAGAGACUUUAUUCUUAUUUACAGCAGAAAGUUUAAAACGACCUGAGCUCAUUUGAUCUUGGAAAACCUGAAUUUGAAAAAUUGCCUGCUGGACUUUGCAUGAAACUGGAACUGGCUUGACAAAUUAAAACCUCGCAUUACUUUGCAUGUAAAGAAAGUGUAACAGAUUCUUCAGGACUGCGUGUGCCAUUAAUUCCACCCUAAGAAGCAUUUCACACCGUUCCAUGCCCAGCGCCGAAUGCACCCGUCCCGUCUCUGGCGCGGUGGGAGACGGCUGUGCUGGAGAAGGACACCAACCAUGUGGGUAAUAAACAUGAAUGGUGGCGCGUCUGAGAGGGAACGGAUGAUAGCAGGGGUGAAAAAGUGGAAGGAAAGUGGCUGUCAGAAGAACUUUGUUUUCUCAUCAUUGUUUUCUCUGUCUCCAAACCUUGAGAGGAUGUGUCAUGAGCAGCAGAAAUAAUAAAGCAGAGAGAUGAUGCGAUGCUCCUCUACCUCACAGCUUGGGCCUCUGAAGAAAUACGAAAUCAGUAGAGCUUCAAAGGAGCUGUAGAGGAGGUGUAUGCUAAACCUGCCAGUAAUAGGCCUUUCUCGUGUUAAAACUGGGUUUCAGGAAGGUUAUGGUGAAAGGGUGCCCCCUGGUGUUGGGUUUGAGCGCUGCAUAGAUAUGCCAUAUCAUUUUAAUGUCGAAAUAAACCAUUUCUGCCACCUGUUCAUGUUAUUGUACAUUGUUCUUAUUCAUAAUCGUUAACAGAUUUUUUUAUUGUUGUGUAGUUGGUGUUUUGCAGAAACUGUAAGGAAGAAUAUCACGUGGGAACGUGCAGACAAAAGUUGGCGGCAGCAGCAGGAAAUACCCUUCAGGGUUAUAUUGUAGAUGAAGAAGCAGCUCUUCGUGCCC